GAUGAAGAACGUAGCGAAAUGCGAUAAGUAGUGUGAAUUGCAGAAUUCAGUGAAUCAUCGAAUCUUUGAACGCACAUUGCGCCCCUUGGUAUUCCAUGGGGCAUGCCUGUUCGAGCGUCAUUUGUACCUUCAAGCUUUGCUUGGUGUUGGGUGUUUGUCCUGAGGGACUCACCUUAAAAUUAUUGGCAGCCAGUGUUUUGGUUUUGAAGCGCAGCACAAGUCGCGAUUCAAACGAAUACGCCAGCUUCCACAAGCCUUUUUCACUUUUGACCUCGGAUCAGGUAGGGAUACCCGCUGAACUUAAGCAUAUCAAUAAGCGGAGGA
Molecule: unclassified non-coding RNA, 324 nt
Filed under: soil metagenome
Description: partial contains 5.8S ribosomal RNA, internal transcribed spacer 2, and large subunit ribosomal RNA
Rfam family: 5.8S ribosomal RNA (bases 1-120)
Source: RNAcentral